This 443-nucleotide ribosomal RNA is filed under the name uncultured bacterium. RNAcentral's name for it is "partial 16S ribosomal RNA". It matches the Rfam family "Bacterial small subunit ribosomal RNA", at positions 338 to 795 of the family's 1533-position model. The record is from RNAcentral.
CCUACGGGAGGCAGCAGUGGGGAAUAUUGCGCAAUGGGGGGAACCCUGACGCAGCAACGCCGCGUGCAGGAAGAAGGUCUUCGGAUUGUAAACUGUUGUCGCAGGGGAAGAAGACAGUGACGGUACCCUGUGAGAAAGUCACGGCUAACUACGUGCCAGCAGCCGCGGUAAUACGUAGGUGACAAGCGUUGUCCGGAUUUACUGGGUGUAAAGGGCGCGUAGGCGGAUGUGCAAGUCAGUCGUGAAAUACCGGGGCUCAACCCCGGGGCUGCGAUUGAAACUGCACACCUUGAGUAUCGGAGAGGAAAGCGGAAUUCCUAGUGUAGCGGUGAAAUGCGUAGAUAUUAGGAGGAACACCAGUGGCGAAGGCGGCUUUCUGGACGACAACUGACGCUGAGGCGCGAAAGUGUGGGGAGCAAACAGGAUUAGAUACCCUUGUAGUC